This 2902-nucleotide ribosomal RNA is filed under the name Klebsiella pneumoniae. RNAcentral describes it as "23S ribosomal RNA". It matches the Rfam family "Bacterial large subunit ribosomal RNA". The record is from RNAcentral. Lineage: Bacteria; Pseudomonadati; Pseudomonadota; Gammaproteobacteria; Enterobacterales; Enterobacteriaceae.
GGUUAAGCGACUAAGCGUACACGGUGGAUGCCCUGGCAGUCAGAGGCGAUGAAGGACGUGCUAAUCUGCGAAAAGCGUCGGUAAGGUGAUAUGAACCGUUAUAACCGGCGAUGUCCGAAUGGGGAAACCCAGUGUGAUUCGUCACACUAUCGUUAACUGAAUACAUAGGUUAACGAGGCGAACCGGGGGAACUGAAACAUCUAAGUACCCCGAGGAAAAGAAAUCAACCGAGAUUCCCCCAGUAGCGGCGAGCGAACGGGGAGCAGCCCAGAGUCUGAAUCAGCUUGUGUGUUAGUGGAACGGUCUGGAAAGUCCGACGGUACAGGGUGAUAGUCCCGUACACCAAAAUGCACAGGCUGUGAACUCGAAGAGUAGGGCGGGACACGUGGUAUCCUGUCUGAAUAUGGGGGGACCAUCCUCCAAGGCUAAAUACUCCUGACUGACCGAUAGUGAACCAGUACCGUGAGGGAAAGGCGAAAAGAACCCCGGCGAGGGGAGUGAAAAAGAACCUGAAACCGUGUACGUACAAGCAGUGGGAGCACCUUCGGGUGUGACUGCGUACCUUUUGUAUAAUGGGUCAGCGACUUAUAUUCUGUAGCAAGGUUAACCGUAUAGGGGAGCCGCAGGGAAACCGAGUCUUAACUGGGCGUUAAGUUGCAGGGUAUAGACCCGAAACCCGGUGAUCUAGCCAUGGGCAGGUUGAAGGUUGGGUAACACUAACUGGAGGACCGAACCGACUAAUGUUGAAAAAUUAGCGGAUGACUUGUGGCUGGGGGUGAAAGGCCAAUCAAACCGGGAGAUAGCUGGUUCUCCCCGAAAGCUAUUUAGGUAGCGCCUCGUGAACUCAUCUUCGGGGGUAGAGCACUGUUUCGGCUAGGGGGUCAUCCCGACUUACCAACCCGAUGCAAACUACGAAUACCGAAGAAUGUUAUCACGGGAGACACACGGCGGGUGCUAACGUCCGUCGUGAAGAGGGAAACAACCCAGACCGCCAGCUAAGGUCCCAAAGUCAUGGUUAAGUGGGAAACGAUGUGGGAAGGCACAGACAGCCAGGAUGUUGGCUUAGAAGCAGCCAUCAUUUAAAGAAAGCGUAAUAGCUCACUGGUCGAGUCGGCCUGCGCGGAAGAUGUAACGGGGCUAAACCAUGCACCGAAGCUGCGGCAGCGACACUAUGUGUUGUUGGGUAGGGGAGCGUUCUGUAAGCCUGCGAAGGUGACCUGUGAGGGUUGCUGGAGGUAUCAGAAGUGCGAAUGCUGACAUAAGUAACGAUAAAGCGGGUGAAAAGCCCGCUCGCCGGAAGACCAAGGGUUCCUGUCCAACGUUAAUCGGGGCAGGGUGAGUCGACCCCUAAGGCGAGGCCGAAAGGCGUAGUCGAUGGGAAACAGGUUAAUAUUCCUGUACUUGGUGUUACUGCGAAGGGGGGACGGAGAAGGCUAUGUUAGCCGGGCGACGGUUGUCCCGGUUUAAGCAUGUAGGCUGAUUGUCCAGGCAAAUCCGGAUAAUCAAGGCUGAGGUGUGAUGACGAGGCACUACGGUGCUGAAGUAACAAAUGCCCUGCUUCCAGGAAAAGCCUCUAAGCAUCAGGUAACAUCAAAUCGUACCCCAAACCGACACAGGUGGUCAGGUAGAGAAUACCAAGGCGCUUGAGAGAACUCGGGUGAAGGAACUAGGCAAAAUGGUGCCGUAACUUCGGGAGAAGGCACGCUGGUGUGUAGGUGAAGUCCCUGCGGAUGGAGCUGAGACCAGUCGAAGAUACCAGCUGGCUGCAACUGUUUAUUAAAAACACAGCACUGUGCAAACACGAAAGUGGACGUAUACGGUGUGACGCCUGCCCGGUGCCGGAAGGUUAAUUGAUGGGGUUAUCCGUAAGGAGAAGCUCUUGAUCGAAGCCCCGGUAAACGGCGGCCGUAACUAUAACGGUCCUAAGGUAGCGAAAUUCCUUGUCGGGUAAGUUCCGACCUGCACGAAUGGCGUAAUGAUGGCCAGGCUGUCUCCACCCGAGACUCAGUGAAAUUGAACUCGCUGUGAAGAUGCAGUGUACCCGCGGCAAGACGGAAAGACCCCGUGAACCUUUACUAUAGCUUGACACUGAACAUUGAGCCUUGAUGUGUAGGAUAGGUGGGAGGCUUUGAAGCGUGGACGCCAGUCUGCGUGGAGCCAACCUUGAAAUACCACCCUUUAAUGUUUGAUGUUCUAACGUUGGCCCCUGACCGGGGUUGCGGACAGUGUCUGGUGGGUAGUUUGACUGGGGCGGUCUCCUCCCAAAGCGUAACGGAGGAGCACGAAGGUUAGCUAAUCCUGGUCGGACAUCAGGAGGUUAGUGCAAUGGCAUAAGCUAGCUUGACUGCGAGCGUGACGGCGCGAGCAGGUGCGAAAGCAGGUCAUAGUGAUCCGGUGGUUCUGAAUGGAAGGGCCAUCGCUCAACGGAUAAAAGGUACUCCGGGGAUAACAGGCUGAUACCGCCCAAGAGUUCAUAUCGACGGCGGUGUUUGGCACCUCGAUGUCGGCUCAUCACAUCCUGGGGCUGAAGUAGGUCCCAAGGGUAUGGCUGUUCGCCAUUUAAAGUGGUACGCGAGCUGGGUUUAGAACGUCGUGAGACAGUUCGGUCCCUAUCUGCCGUGGGCGCUGGAGAAUUGAGGGGGGCUGCUCCUAGUACGAGAGGACCGGAGUGGACGCAUCACUGGUGUUCGGGUUGUCAUGCCAAUGGCACUGCCCGGUAGCUAAAUGCGGAAGAGAUAAGUGCUGAAAGCAUCUAAGCACGAAACUUGCCCCGAGAUGAGUUCUCCCUGAGACUUUAAGUCUCCUGAAGGAACGUUAAAGACGAUGACGUUGAUAGGCCGGGUGUGUAAGCGCAGCGAUGCGUUGAGCUAACCGGUACUAAUGAACCGUGAGGCUUAACCUU